This 484-nucleotide ribosomal RNA is filed under the name uncultured bacterium. RNAcentral's name for it is "partial 16S ribosomal RNA". It matches the Rfam family "Bacterial small subunit ribosomal RNA", at positions 28 to 523 of the family's 1533-position model. The record is from RNAcentral.
GAUGAACGCUGGCGGCGUGCUUAACACAUGCAAGUCGAACGGUGAAGCAGGAGCUUGCUCUUGUGGAUCAGUGGCGAACGGGUGAGUAACACGUGAGUAACCUGCCCCUGACUCUGGGAUAAGCGCUGGAAACGGCGUCUAAUACUGGAUAUGUGAUGUGACCGCAUGGUCUGCAUCUGGAAAGAAUUUCGGUUGGGGAUGGGCUCGCGGCCUAUCAGCUUGUUGGUGAGGUAAUGGCUCACCAAGGCGUCGACGGGUAGCCGGCCUGAGAGGGUGACCGGCCAAACUGGGACUGAGACACGGCCCAGACUCCUACGGGAGGCAGCAGUGGGGAAUAUUGCACAAUGGGCGGAAGCCUGAUGCAGCAACGCCGCGUGAGGGAUGACGGCCUUCGGGUUGUAAACCUCUUUUAGCAGGGAAGAAGCGAAAGUGACGGUACCUGCAGAAAAAGCACCGGCUAACUACGUGCCAGCCGCCGCAGUAA